Molecule: transfer RNA, 72 nt
Filed under: Alosa alosa (allis shad)
Lineage: Eukaryota; Metazoa; Chordata; Actinopteri; Clupeiformes; Clupeidae
Description: tRNA-Leu
Rfam family: tRNA
About the family: Transfer RNA (tRNA) molecules are approximately 80 nucleotides in length.
Source: RNAcentral
GCUCCAGUGGCUCAAUCGUUAGCGCGUGUUACUUAAAAUGCCGGGUUGUGAGUUCGAGCCUCACCUAGAGCA